UCCGACUUCACUCCAACCCCUGUGACAUACCAAUUGUUGCCUCGGCGGAUCAGCCCGCUCCCGGUAAAACGGGACGGCCCGCCAGAGGACCCCUAAACUCUGUUUCUAUAUGUAACUUCUGAGUAAAACCAUAAAUAAAUCAAAACUUUCAACAACGGAUCUCUUGGUUCUGGCAUCGAUGAAGAACGCAGCAAAAUGCGAUAAGUAAUGUGAAUUGCAGAAUUCAGUGAAUCAUCGAAUCUUUGAACGCACAUUGCGCCCGCCAGUAUUCUGGCGGGCAUGCCUGUUCGAGCGUCAUUUCAACCCUCAAGCCCCCGGGUUUGGUGUUGGGGAUCGGCGAGCCCUUGCGGCAAGCCGGCCCCGAAAUCUAGUGGCGGUCUCGCUGCAGCUUCCAUUGCGUAGUAGUAAAACCCUCGCAACUGGUACGCGGCGCGGCCAAGCCGUUAAACCCCCAACUUCUGAAUGUUGACCUCGGAUCAGGUAGGAAUACCCGCUGAACUUAAGCAUAUCAAUAAGCGGAGGAACUC
RNAcentral lists this ribosomal RNA (527 nucleotides) under Fusarium proliferatum. RNAcentral describes it as "eukaryotic LSU rRNA". The stretch from base 144 to 297 matches the Rfam family "5.8S ribosomal RNA". Lineage: Eukaryota; Fungi; Ascomycota; Sordariomycetes; Hypocreales; Nectriaceae. The record is from RNAcentral.